GACGAACGCUGGCGGCGUGCUUAACACAUGCAAGUCGAACGGAAAGGCCCUGCUUUUGUGGGGUGCUCGAGUGGCGAACGGGUGAGUAACACGUGAGUAACCUGCCCUUGACUUUGGGAUAACUUCAGGAAACUGGGGCUAAUACCGGAUAUGAGCUCCUGCUGCAUGGUGGGGGUUGGAAAGUUUCGGCGGGUGGGGAUGGACUCGCGGCUUAUCAGCUUGUUGGUGGGGUAGUGGCUUACCAAGGCUUUGACGGGUAGCCGGCCUGAGAGGGUGACCGGCCACAUUGGGACUGAGAUACGGCCCAGACUCCUACGGGAGGCAGCAGUGGGGAAUAUUGCACAAUGGGCGGAAGCCUGAUGCAGCAACGCCGCGUGCGGGAUGACGGCCUUCGGGUUGUAAACCGCUUUCGCCUGUGACGAAGCGUGAGUGACGGUAAUGGGUAAAGAAGCACCGGCUAACUACGU
Molecule: ribosomal RNA, 467 nt
Filed under: uncultured bacterium
Lineage: Bacteria
Description: partial 16S ribosomal RNA
Rfam family: Bacterial small subunit ribosomal RNA
Source: RNAcentral